GAGUGGAGUGAUGAUUGUAUUUGAUUCCCUAUUGGUUUGAUUGCCAGUGUGAUGGCACGCAUUAUAAUAGCUUUAUCUGACCACUC
This 86-nucleotide small nucleolar RNA is filed under the name Amborella trichopoda. RNAcentral describes it as "snoRNA snoZ102_R77". It matches the Rfam family "Small nucleolar RNA Z102/R77". From Rfam's summary of the family: Z102 and R77 and are members of the C/D class of snoRNA which contain the C (UGAUGA) and D (CUGA) box motifs. Most of the members of the box C/D family function in directing site-specific 2'-O-methylation of substrate RNAs. The record is from Rfam by way of RNAcentral. Lineage: Eukaryota; Viridiplantae; Streptophyta; Magnoliopsida; Amborellales; Amborellaceae.